GAUGAACGCUGGCGGCGUGCUUAAUACAUGCAAGUCGAACGGUACUCGCAAGAGUAUAGUGGCGAACGGGUGAGUAACGCGUUGGUGACCUGCCCCGAAGAGAGGGAUAACAGAUCGAAAGGUCUGCUAAUACCGCAUGCUUUCACAAGGAUUAGAAGCUUGUGAAGAAAUGGCGAAAGUCGCUUCGGGAGGGACCUGCGUCCCAUCAGCUAGUUGGUGAGGUAACGGCCCACCAAGGCUAUGACGGGUAGGGGACCUGAGAGGGUGGCCCCCCACAAUGGAACUGAAACACGGUCCAUACACCUACGGGUGGCAGCAGUAGGGAAUAUUGGUUAAUGGGCGAAAGCCUGACCCAGCAACGCCGCGUGAGUGAUGAAGGCCUUCGGGUUGUAAAACGUCUUUUAUGGGGAUGAGGAAGGACAGUACUCAUAGAAUAAGUCUCGGCUAACUACGUGCCAGCAGCCGCGGUAAU
This 472-nucleotide ribosomal RNA is filed under the name uncultured bacterium. RNAcentral's name for it is "bacterial SSU rRNA". It matches the Rfam family "Bacterial small subunit ribosomal RNA", at positions 28 to 524 of the family's 1533-position model. The record is from RNAcentral.